Molecule: ribosomal RNA, 497 nt
Filed under: uncultured bacterium
Lineage: Bacteria
Description: partial 16S ribosomal RNA
Rfam family: Bacterial small subunit ribosomal RNA
Source: RNAcentral
GAUGAACGCUGGCGGCGUGCCUAAUACAUGCAAGUCGAGCGAACGGACGCUACUCUUGCUUCUCUGAUGUUAGCGGCGGACGUGUGAGUAACACGUGUAUCACCUCCCUAUAAGACUGGUAUAACUUCGGGAAACCGUCUCUAAUACCGUAUAAUCUUUUGCACCGCAUGGUUCAAAAGUGAAAGACGGUCUUGCUGUCUCUUCUAGCUGCUUCCGGGCUGCAUUAGCUAGUUGGUAAGUUAACGGCUUACCACGGCAACGAUGCAUAGACGAACUGAGAGAGGGAUCGGCCACACUGGAACGGAGACACGGUCAAGACGACUAAGGGAGGCAGCAGAAGGGAAUCGGAGGCAAUGGGCGGAAGCAUGACGGAGCAAGGCCGAGUGAGUGAUGAAGGUCUUCGGAUCGGAAAAAUCUGUUAUGAGGGAAGAACAUAUGUGGAAGUAAAUGUGCACAGAGUGACGGUAACGAAUCAGAAAGCAACGGCUAACUACGUG